Molecule: ribosomal RNA, 465 nt
Filed under: uncultured bacterium
Lineage: Bacteria
Description: partial 16S ribosomal RNA
Rfam family: Bacterial small subunit ribosomal RNA
Source: RNAcentral
GACGAACGCUGGCGGCGUGCUUAACACAUGCAAGUCGAACGGAAAGGCCCCUUUGGGGGUACUCGAGUGGCGAACGGGUGAGUAACACGUGAGUAACCUGCCCUUGACUUCGGGAUAACUUCAGGAAACUGGGGCUAAUACCGGAUAGGAAUCCUUGCUGCAUGGUGGGGGUUGGAAAGCUUCGGCGGUUUUGGAUGGACUCGCGGCUUAUCAGCUUGUUGGUGGGGUAGUGGCUUACCAAGGCUUUGACGGGUAGCCGGCCUGAGAGGGCGACCGGCCACAUUGGGACUGAGAUACGGCCCAGACUCCUACGGGAGGCAGCAGUGGGGAAUAUUGCACAAUGGGCGGAAGCCUGAUGCAGCAACGCCGCGUGCGGGAUGACGGCCUUCGGGUUGUAAACCGCUUUCAGCAGGGGCGAAGUUUGUGGUGACGGUACCUGCAGAAGAAGCACCGGCUAACUACGUG